UACGGAGGAUGCAAGCGUUAUCCGGAUUUAUUGGGUUUAAAGGGUGCGCAGGUUGUUUGAUAAGUCAGUGGUGAAAGUCUGUCGCUUAACGGUAGGAUUGCCAUUGAUACUGUUAGACUUGAAUAUGGAUGAGGUAGGCGGAAUGUGUAGUGUAGCGGUGAAAUGCAUAGACAUUACACAGAACACCGAUUGCGAAGGCAGCUUACUAAUCCAUCAUUGACGCUGAGGCACGAAAGCGUGGGGAGUCAAACA
Molecule: ribosomal RNA, 252 nt
Filed under: uncultured prokaryote
Description: partial 16S ribosomal RNA
Rfam family: Bacterial small subunit ribosomal RNA
Source: RNAcentral